UUAAAUUUUGUAAAUGUAUUUGUGCCUUCCCAAAAAUGUCAAGAAAAGCAAAAUUCUAUUUGUCGCCAAGUGAAAUUCCAUAAAUCAAAAAACGAGACGAGCCAAAAACGAAGUCCGAGAAUGAGGGGCAGAGACAGGGCUGAAGCACAGUAGAGACGACAGGGACAUCAUUUUGCAUUAAACAAACAACAAUUCAUCAUUUUUAAAUACGUAUACACAUGCAUAUAUACGUAUUCUAUGCACAGAGCCAAGCCUACGCACAAAAUUGCAGCUGCGCAGAGAAGGAACAUGCAAAUUGGCAAAGCAAGCAAACAAAUCUGCUGCAAAGUUAGCCACUGCUAAAACAAGAGGCAGCCUUUUCCAACAGAGUACAGAAUUGCCCCAGAUACAAACAUGUCUACCAAACGAUUAUUAAGUCAUCAUUUAUCACAUCCUCCCUCGUCAUUGUGUCACAUUCUCCGCUAGAACGCCUGGCGACAGUCUGAUGAACAGGAGUCGCAGGCUCUGGUGUAACCUUGCCAUUUAAUAAAAUUCGGAAUAGAAAAACCAAAGUUACAGGUUACACAUAAAUACAUGUUUGCAAGGAAAGGAAAAAAAGGACAGCCAUAAGAAUACGCAAAUAGGCAAAGGCUCUGAAGCUGAUGUGUAUGCACGUCGAAAGCUUAAGAGCUAACCCUUCCAUAAUUCUUAAUAUUCCUUUAUUGAAAUAUGCAAGUUUGAUUUGCCUGACCGGAAAAAACUUUUUCUAUGUAUGUGAAUAUCGGUUUUGCACACUAGUGGAUGCUCGUUGAGCACUUCUCACUGCGAAACAAAGGGCAAACUAACGAGAAGACUACAAUCAGUUAAAGAAACUGCGCGGUUGCCGCUUAAAACUCGGGAAUAUCCUAUGGGACCCCUCAGUGACAGUAGAAAACCGCAAAUGAAACUUUCACUGGGCUUCGUCUGACAUUAAACUUUAAGUAAAAUGUUUUUGCACCUGGGCGGAGCGUAUGUCGAAGUUUUCAUAAAAGGAUAGCUUAGCGCUUGUCAAAAGUUGUCCAGAGAGAGCGAAUCAGUUGGGACGGACAACCGCCGGACAGCUGAAAGGUUUGAGCAGCACAGCAGCAGGAAUUUUUCCAACACUGCUCAUGUCAGGUUUUCAAAACUUAAAUCAUUUUUAGCUUAGCUUCCAGCUUAAAUGCAUUUCUCAGACGUUUUCACCUGAAAAGGUUUCAGGCAUCUAAGCGAAUCGAGGACAAGCCCCUACACUCUGUGUUCUAAUGUCAACAUGUCAGUUGAGUGCGAGAACAAUUUGUCAGCCAGUUGUGAAUGACAGCCAAGCCGACGCUGGUAUGAAAACGAAACACACACAAACACGUUAUUUGACUAUGUAAGAGAAACUGCCCAGGGCACCUGUCAAAACUCAACUGUUCAAUAUGUUGUGAGGUAAUCGAAGCGUUCAAAUUAGUAUUCAAUUAUCCUUAAAUGAGUUUAACAAUAUUAUGCUGAGAACCGUUGCUGUCAAAAGAGCGUUCAAGCAGCCGGUGCCCUCAGAAAAAAUAAAAAAAAUUAUAUCAUGCAAUAUUUUGUGCCCACCUGCACAUACAAUUUGGAACAGCGUGCUUUGAGUGCGCUUAAUGAACCAUAAUUUAAUUCAUCUGAACCUUAAGAUCUUAAAUUCUUAUUAGUAGUGAAGUACAAAUACAUUGGUAAAGAAAU
This is a non-coding RNA of Drosophila virilis, 1698 nucleotides long. NCBI's taxonomy places the organism in Eukaryota, Metazoa, Arthropoda, Insecta, Diptera, Drosophilidae. The record is from RefSeq and is a predicted model, not a curated record.